RNAcentral lists this ribosomal RNA (253 nucleotides) under uncultured bacterium. Its description in RNAcentral is "partial 16S ribosomal RNA". It matches the Rfam family "Bacterial small subunit ribosomal RNA", at positions 524 to 776 of the family's 1533-position model. The record is from RNAcentral.
UACGUAGGGGGCAAGCGUUAUCCGGAUUUACUGGGUGUAAAGGGAGCGUAGACGGCAGGGCAAGUCUGGAGUGAAAGGCAGGGGCCCAACCCCUGGACUGCUCUGGAAACUGUUCGGCUGGAGUGCAGGAGAGGUAAGUGGAAUUCCUAGUGUAGCGGUGAAAUGCGUAGAUAUUAGGAGGAACACCAGUGGCGAAGGCGGCUUACUGGACUGUAACUGACGUUGAGGCUCGAAAGCGUGGGGAGCAAACAGG